Molecule: non-coding RNA, 95 nt
Organism: Malassezia brasiliensis
Lineage: Eukaryota; Fungi; Basidiomycota; Malasseziomycetes; Malasseziales; Malasseziaceae
Source: the annotation of a GenBank genome assembly
CCAGCCAUAGCUCAGUUGGAAGAGCGAAGGUUUGUAAUUAGGUUACCAGAUCCUCGGAUCACCUUAGGUCCCGUGUUCGAAUCACGGUGGCUGGA